UACGGGGGGGGCAAGCGUUGUUCGGAAUUACUGGGCGUAAAGGGCUCGUAGGCGGCCAACUAAGUCAGACGUGAAAUCCCCAGGCUCAACCUGGGAACUGCGUCUGAUACUGGAUGGCUUGAAUCCGGGAGAGGGAUGCAGAAUUCCAGGUGUAGCGGUGAAAUGCGUAGAUAUCUGGAGGAACAUCGGUGGCGAAGGCGGCAUCCUGGACCGAUAUUGACGCUGAGGCGCGAAAGCCAGGGGAGCAAACGGG
RNAcentral lists this ribosomal RNA (253 nucleotides) under uncultured bacterium. RNAcentral describes it as "partial 16S ribosomal RNA". It matches the Rfam family "Bacterial small subunit ribosomal RNA", at positions 524 to 776 of the family's 1533-position model. The record is from RNAcentral.